CCUACGGGUGGCAGCAGUCGAGAAUCAUUCACAAUGGGGGAAACCCUGAUGGUGCGACGCCGCGUGGGGGAAUGAAGGUCUUCGGAUUGUAAACCCCUGUCAUGUGGGAGCAAAUUAAAAAGAUAGUACCACAAGAGGAAGAGACGGCUAACUCUGUGCCAGCAGCCGCGGUAAUACAGAGGUCGCAAGCGUUGUUCGGAAUCACUGGGCGUAAAGCGUGCGUAGGCUGUUUCGUAAGUCGUGUGUGAAAGGCGCGGGCUCAACCCGCGGACGGCACAUGAUACUGCGAGACUAGAGUAAGGGAGGGGGAACCGGAAUUCUCGGUGUAGCAGUGAAAUGCGUAGAUAUCGAGAGGAACACUCGUGGCGAAGGCGGGUUCCUGGACAUUAACUGACGCUGCGGCACGAAGGCCAGGGGAGCGAAAGGGAUUAGAUACCCUUGUAGUC
RNAcentral lists this ribosomal RNA (446 nucleotides) under uncultured bacterium. RNAcentral's name for it is "partial 16S ribosomal RNA". It matches the Rfam family "Bacterial small subunit ribosomal RNA", at positions 338 to 795 of the family's 1533-position model. The record is from RNAcentral.